AUUAAACGCUGGCGGCAUGCCUUACACAUGCAAGUCGAACGGCAGCACGGGGGCAACCCUGGUGGCGAGUGGCGGACGGGUGAGUAAUACAUCGGAACGUGCCCUGGAGUGGGGGAUAACGUAGCGAAAGUUACGCUAAUACCGCAUAUUCUGUGAGCAGGAAAGCAGGGGAUCGCAAGACCUUGCGCUCUGGGAGCGGCCGAUGUCGGAUUAGCUAGUUGGUGGGGUAAAGGCCUACCAAGGCGACGAUCCGUAGCGGGUCUGAGAGGAUGAUCCGCCACACUGGGACUGAGACACGGCCCAGACUCCUACGGGAGGCAGCAGUGGGGAAUUUUGGACAAUGGGCGGAAGCCUGAUCCAGCCAUGCCGCGUGAGUGAAGAAGGCCUUCGGGUUGUAAAGCUCUUUCGGCGGGGAAGAAAUUGCUUGGGUUAAUACCCUGAGUAGAUGACGGUACCCGAAUAAGAAGCACCGGCU
RNAcentral lists this ribosomal RNA (475 nucleotides) under uncultured bacterium. RNAcentral describes it as "bacterial SSU rRNA". It matches the Rfam family "Bacterial small subunit ribosomal RNA", at positions 29 to 498 of the family's 1533-position model. The record is from RNAcentral.